Molecule: ribosomal RNA, 856 nt
Filed under: uncultured bacterium
Lineage: Bacteria
Description: bacterial SSU rRNA
Rfam family: Bacterial small subunit ribosomal RNA
Source: RNAcentral
ACGAUGAAUCUUCUAGCUUGCUAGAAGUGGAUUAGUGGCGCACGGGUGAGUAAUGCAUAGGUUAUGUGCCCUUUAGUCUGGGAUAGCCACUGGAAACGGUGAUUAAUACUGGAUACUCCCUACGGGGGAAAGUUUUUCGCUAAAGGAUCAGCCUAUGUCCUAUCAGCUUGUUGGUGAGGUAAUGGCUCACCAAGGCUAUGACGGGUAUCCGGCCUGAGAGGGUGAUCGGACACACUGGAACUGAGACACGGUCCAGACUCCUACGGGAGGCAGCAGUAGGGAAUAUUGCUCAAUGGGGGAAACCCUGAAGCAGCAACGCCGCGUGGAGGAUGAAGGUUUUAGGAUUGUAAACUCCUUUUGUUAGAGAAGAUUAUGACGGUAUCUAACGAAUAAGCACCGGCUAACUCCGUGCCAGCAGCCGCGGUAAUACGGAGGGUGCAAGCGUUACUCGGAAUCACUGGGCGUAAAGAGUGCGUAGGCGGGGUAAUAAGUCAGAUGUGAAAUCCUGUAGCUUAACUACAGAACUGCAUUUGAAACUGUUACUCUGGAGUGUGGGAGAGGUAGGUGGAAUUCUUGGUGUAGGGGUAAAAUCCGUAGAGAUCAAGAGGAAUACUCAUUGCGAAGGCGACCUGCUGGAACAUUACUGACGCUGAUGCACGAAAGCGUGGGGAGCAAACAGGAUUAGAUACCCUGGUAGUCCACGCCCUAAACGAUGGAUGCUAGUUGUUGCCUUGCCUGUCAGGGCAGUAAUGCAGCUAACGCAUUAAGCAUCCCGCCUGGGGAGUACGGUCGCAAGAUUAAAACUCAAAGGAAUAGACGGGGACCCGCACAAGCGGUGGAGCAUGUGGUUUAAUUC